GUGUGCCGCGGCCGCGCGAGUCCUGGAAAGCGUUGUUGGCCCGGUUGCUCUGGAGCCGGGUCUCGGGUCUGGUGGCUGCCGGCCCUCCAGCAUCUCGCCAUGGGGAGCACGGAGAGCAGCGAGGGCCGCAGGGUGUCCUUCGGAGUGGACGAGGAGGAGCGGGUCCGGGUGCUGCAGGGUGUCCGGCUGUCUGAAAACGUGGUGAAUCGCAUGAAGGAGCCCAGCUCUCCACCCCCUGCUCCCACAUCUUCUACCUUUGGCCUUCAAGAUGGCAACUUGAGAGCCCCUCACAAAGAAUCCACACUGCCCAGGUCGGGGAGCAGUGGUGGCCAGCAGCCCUCAGGGAUGAAGGAGGGUGUCAAGAGGUAUGAACAGGAGCAUGCUGCUGUCCAGGAUAAGCUCUUCCAGGUGGCAAAGAGGGAAAGAGAGGCUGCCACCAAGCACUCCAAGGCUUCCCUGCCCAUGGGCGAAGGCAGCAUCAGCCAUGAGGAGCAGAAGUCACUCCGGCUGGCCAGGGAGCUGGAGAGCAGAGAGGCAGAGCUAAGACGCCGUGACACCUUCUACAAGGAGCAGCUGGAGCGUAUUGAGAGGAAGAAUGCUGAGAUGUAUAAACUGUCUUCAGAGCAAUUCCAUGAGGCAGCCUCAAAGAUGGAGGGCACAAUAAAGUAAGAAUUUGUUUAUUAUUCUUUGUAAACUUGGCCCACAUUUGUAAAAAUUCCCACAUGUGGCUUGAAACCUGCCACCACCUGCCUAAUUUCAAGUUUCCCUAAUAAUACACACAACCAUCUGUUCCUCAGCUCUCUCACCUGGAUCUGAGGUAGCCAUUGGUCAUCUGUAAUUGGCCAAAUUAGCACUCAGUUCUUAUCUAGCUCCUUGGCAAAUUGGAGUGGUGCUAGGGUAGACUUGCAGAGUUAUUUUCGGGGCCCAGUGUCUGCUGAGCAGGGGCUCCUUUCCUUGUGUGGCUAGCUGAGGAGCUGGCCGUCAGGCCCCAGAAGGAGUUGAGGCAGGGGUUCUGCUGGCUUCUCUCCCCUCUGACUGUGGAGGGGUUUUUAGGGGAAGGUGUCCCCUCUCAGUGCUUCCUGUGCCUGGUACGUGCAGUGCACCCUGUGCGCAGUCAUGCUCGGGGUGGCCUACACUUCAUGCCCAGAGGAACUGAGGCUCAGAGAGCUGCUGGCUUGCUCAGAUCAUACAGUCCUAAGUGCCAGCAUUCUGUCCCCUGUCUGUGGUGCUCCUGUGCUGUCCAUUGAGGACUCAGCUGGAACAUCACAGGAGCAGGGAGGUGCUCACAGUGUGCCCAGUACCAGUGUGGCUCUGCUCAGUCAAUAGUACAGUUCCCUGGAAGGUCAGAAAGUGAUUCCUGCGGGAAGGAAUUGGGUCUUAUGGGUUCUCUGUGUGAAGUUGGUCUCUAUGGACCUGAGAGACCUUCAUAAAUUAGCCAAGGGGCUACCACCAACGCCAUCCACUUCCUGGGAAAGCUGCUCCCUCCCAAGAGUGAAUUGGGACAAUUCACCUGGCAGCCCUCAGGGCACAGAAUUGUGAGCAGUGGGUCUGGCCUCAUGAGAAAGAAGUGUCAGAGACAGGUUUGCAUGAUAGUUGUAAAAACAGCUGUGCAGAGAACUGUGAGGAGCUGGAAGGACAGUAGGGACAGACGAACAGUCAGCAUAGACCCAAAGGCACAGAAUAGGACAGGGAACAAUGUAGGCUGGUUUUGGGGUCUCUUUUUGAGGCAGGGUCUCACUGUGUGGGCCCGGCUGGAGUGUAGUGGCAGAAUCAUGGCUCAAUGCAGCCUUGACCUCCCGGGCUUAGGUGGAAGAAUCACUUGAACCUGGGAGGCGGAGGUUGCAGUGAGCUGAGAUCGUGCCACUGCACUCCAGCCUGGGCAACAGAGUGAGAAUCCAUCUU
This is an RNA transcript of Pan troglodytes (chimpanzee), 1902 nucleotides long. It is a transcript of the gene named coiled-coil-helix-coiled-coil-helix domain containing 6, with no coding region annotated. The record is from RefSeq and is a predicted model, not a curated record. NCBI's taxonomy places the organism in Eukaryota, Metazoa, Chordata, Mammalia, Primates, Hominidae. The transcript has 7 exons.